This 466-nucleotide ribosomal RNA is filed under the name uncultured bacterium. RNAcentral's name for it is "bacterial SSU rRNA". It matches the Rfam family "Bacterial small subunit ribosomal RNA", at positions 355 to 825 of the family's 1533-position model. The record is from RNAcentral.
UAGGGAAUAUUGGGCAAUGGAGGGAACUCUGACCCAGCCAUGCCGCGUGCAGGAUGAAGGCGUUAUGCGUUGUAAACUGCUUUUAUAUAGGAAGAAAUAGUCCUUGCGAGGAAAGUUGACGGUACUAUAUGAAUAAGCACCGGCUAACUCCGUGCCAGCAGCCGCGGUAAUUCGGAGGGUGCAAGCGUUGUCCGGAUUUAUUGGGUUUAAAGGGUGCGUAGGCGGUUUAUUAAGUCAGUGGUGAAAGACGGUCGCUCAACGAUUGCAGUGCCAUUGAUACUGGUAGACUUGAGUAUGAUUGAGGUAGCUGGAAUGGAUAGUGUAGCGGUGAAAUGCAUAGAUAUUAUCCAGAACACCAAUUGCGUAGGCAAGUUACUAAGUCAUAACUGACGCUGAGGCACGAAAGUGUGGGUAUCAAACAGGAUUAGAUACCCGAGUAGUCCCUGAGCGGGCUGGCAAGGCGCAU